UAAUUACUAUUUUUAAUAUAAUUUAUUUCUAUAUUUAGCAUAUUAUUUAUUACUAUGAGAACGAUGAAUUAGUUUUAUCAUAUUGUUAAAUUUUUUGAUGAAAAAAAAAACUCAGUGGCUGUUUUUCCUGUAAAGCGGAUAACAAAUGAAUUGUGGAUGACCAUGCUCCUAUAAGACCCACUGCAUUAACCAAGCCAUUGAAAAGUGUGAAGAUUAUAUAGAUGAUUGGAUUGAUUAUGAUUUAAAUUUUUUGUAUAACUCUGUUUUUGGGGUCUUAAGUGGCAUCCAAGAGAUUUUUAUCUGUGAUAUGGUUUCUUGCUGAUAUAAGCAAACGAACACUUUAUUGUACUGUUAACGACGAGGAAUGUUUGAUCAAAUUCAAUGGAGUUAUUGAUUCAAAUAAGAAAGUUAUGUAUGUACUGACACAUGGCAUUUGUUAUCCCACUGUAAGUUAAAACUAGUUGUAAAAUUAAAAAAUUUAUAUUGGAACUUUUUUUUCUUUUAACAUUCAUGUUUAUUUAUUUAUACUAUCUUAGAAUUUGCUGCUUUAGAGGCAUGGCAUUUAGUGUCACAUUGUAGGUUUAAAUUGGUUGUAGAAUUUAUAUUGUAACUUGCAUAUUUAUUUAGUUGAGUUUAAUCUAAGUUUAUAUCUGAUGUGUUUGUAUUAUUUUAGAAUUUACUGUUUUAGACACGUGGCAUGUGGUAUCCCACUGUAAGUUUGAAUUAGUAUAUUUUAAAACAAAUUAUAUUUUAACUUGCAUUUCUUUUGACGUUCAUGUUUAUAUAAUUAGAUUACAACUAAGUUUGUGUAUGGCUUGUUUAUAUUAUUUCAGAAUUUGCUAUUUUAGACACUUGUUAUAAGCUGUCAUACUGUAAGUUUAAAUUGGUUGUAAAAUUUAUAUUGUAACUUGCAUUUCUAUUGGCGUGCUUAUUUAUUUAGUUGAGUUUCAACUAUUAAUAAUGAUAAUAAUAAUAAUAAGUUUAUAUCUGGCGUGUUUAUAUUAUUUUAAAGUUUACUAUUUUAGACACGUGGUAUGUGGUAUCCCACUAAUUAGCUAUUUUAAACAUGUGACAAGUGGUAUGACACUGUAAGUUUAAGUAUUGAUGUAUGUGAAAUGUAUAGAGUCUUUUAGUUAUCAGAUAAUGUCAAGGAGUUGACAGCAUGGUGUUCGAUUUAAAGUGCGAACCUGUGUACGAGUAACAACAGUAUUCAAAACCAAAACCUAUUUAAACCAACCAAACCAAAACUAGCGAC
This is a long non-coding RNA of Hydra vulgaris (swiftwater hydra), 1255 nucleotides long. RefSeq lists it as uncharacterized. The record is from RefSeq and is a predicted model, not a curated record. NCBI's taxonomy places the organism in Eukaryota, Metazoa, Cnidaria, Hydrozoa, Anthoathecata, Hydridae.